This 82-nucleotide transfer RNA is filed under the name Pseudogymnoascus destructans 20631-21. RNAcentral describes it as "tRNA-Ser (AGA) (tRNA-Ser-AGA-2-1)". It matches the Rfam family "tRNA". From Rfam's summary of the family: Transfer RNA (tRNA) molecules are approximately 80 nucleotides in length. The record is from RNAcentral. Lineage: Eukaryota; Fungi; Ascomycota; Leotiomycetes; Thelebolales; Thelebolaceae.
GGCGUGUUGCCAGAGUGGUUAAUGGGUAUGACUAGAAAUCAUAUGGUUUCGGCCGCGUAGGUUCAAAUCCUGCACACGUUCG